GGGACCCGUCUUGAAACACGGACCAAGGAGUCUAGCAUGUGCGCGAGUCAUUGGGAUUUUUACUAAACCUAAAGGCGCAAUGAAAGUGAAGGUCCGCCUUGCGCGGACCGAGGGAGGAUGGACCGUUCCGAGGGACGGCCUCGCACUCCCGGGGCGUCUCGCUCUCAUCGCGAGAAGAGGCGCACCCAGAGCGUACACGCUGGGACCCGAAAGAUGGUGAACUAUGCCUGGUCAGGACGAAGUCAGGGGAAACCCUGAUGGAGGUCCGUAGCGAUUCUGACGUGCAAAUCGAUCGUCGGAACUGGGUAUAGGGGCGAAAGACUAAUCGAACCAUCUAGUAGCUGGUUCCCUCCGAAGUUUCCCUCAGGAUAGCUGGCGCUCGCUUCUCGCGAGUCUCAUUCGGUAAAGCGAAUGAUUAGAGGCAUUGGGGUCGAAACGGCCUCAACCUAUUCUCAAACUUUAAAUGGGUGAGAUCUCCGGCUUGCUUGAACUGUGAAGCCGCGAGAUAUCGGAUCAGAGUGCCAAGUGGGCCACUUUUGGUAAGCAGAACUGGCGCUGUGGGAUGAACCAAACGCUGAGUUAAAGCGCCUAAAUCGACGCUUAUGGGAUACCAUGAAAGGCGUUGGUAACUUAAGACAGCAGGACGGUGGCCAUGGAAGUCGGAAUCCGCUAAGGAGUGUGUAAA
RNAcentral lists this ribosomal RNA (685 nucleotides) under Maladera thomsoni. RNAcentral's name for it is "eukaryotic LSU rRNA". It matches the Rfam family "Eukaryotic large subunit ribosomal RNA", at positions 644 to 1286 of the family's 3401-position model. The record is from RNAcentral. RNAcentral also lists the same sequence under 2 other names. Lineage: Eukaryota; Metazoa; Arthropoda; Insecta; Coleoptera; Scarabaeidae.